Molecule: ribosomal RNA, 256 nt
Filed under: uncultured bacterium
Lineage: Bacteria
Description: partial 16S ribosomal RNA
Rfam family: Bacterial small subunit ribosomal RNA
Source: RNAcentral
UACGUAGGGUGCGAGCGUUAAUCGGAAUUACUGGGCGUAAAGCGUGCGCAGGCGGUUUUGUAAGCCAGGUGUGAAAUCCCCGGGCUCAACCUGGGAAUGGCAUUUGGGACUGCAAGGCUGGAGUGCGGCAGAGGAGACUGGAAUUCCUGGUGUAGCAGUGAAAUGCGUAGAUAUCAGGAGGAACACCGAUGGCGAAGGCAGGUCUCUGGGCUGACACUGACGCUCAUGCACGAAAGCCGUGGGGAGCGAAACAAGG